RNAcentral lists this ribosomal RNA (372 nucleotides) under uncultured bacterium. Its description in RNAcentral is "bacterial SSU rRNA". It matches the Rfam family "Bacterial small subunit ribosomal RNA", at positions 29 to 430 of the family's 1533-position model. The record is from RNAcentral.
AACGAACGCUGGCGGCAGGCCUAACACAUGCAAGUCGAACGCCCCGCAAGGGGAGUGGCAGACGGGUGAGUAACGCGUGGGAACCUUCCCUGUGGUGCGGAAUAACUCGCCGAAAGGCGAGCUAAUACCGCAUAAGCCCGAAAGGGGAAAGAUUUAUCGCCAUAGGAUGGGCCCGCGUAGGAUUAGCUAGUUGGUGAGGUAAUGGCUCACCAAGGCUGCGAUCCUUAGCUGGUUUGAGAGAAUGACCAGCCACACUGGGACUGAGACACGGCCCAGACUCCUACGGGAGGCAGCAGUGGGGAAUCUUGGACAAUGGGCGCAAGCCUGAUCCAGCCAUGCCGCGUGAGUGACGAAGGCCUUCGGGUUGUAAAG